AUUGAACGCUGGCGGCAUGCCUAACACAUGCAAGUCGAACGAGACCUUCGGGUCUAGUGGCGCACGGGUGCGUAACGCGUGGGAAUCUGCCCUUUGCUUCGGAAUAACAGUUAGAAAUGACUGCUAAUACCGGAUGAUGUCUUCGGACCAAAGAUUUGUCGGCAAAGGAUGAGCCCGCGUAGGAUUAGGUAGUUGGUGGGGUAAAGGCCUACCAAGCCGACGAUCCUUAGCUGGUCUGAGAGGAUGAUCAGCCACACUGGGACUGAGACACGGCCCAGACUCCUACGGGAGGCAGCAGUGGGGAAUUAGUGGACAAGUGGGACGAAACGCCUCG
Molecule: ribosomal RNA, 334 nt
Filed under: uncultured bacterium
Lineage: Bacteria
Description: bacterial SSU rRNA
Rfam family: Bacterial small subunit ribosomal RNA
Source: RNAcentral